Molecule: long non-coding RNA, 2792 nt
Organism: Oryctolagus cuniculus (rabbit)
Lineage: Eukaryota; Metazoa; Chordata; Mammalia; Lagomorpha; Leporidae
Source: Ensembl
AAAAAAAAAAAAAGAAGAAGAAGAAGAAGCGGCACAGUCACAGCAAGCCCUGUGGUGGGAUGGAGACGCCGCAGGCCGUGGAGAAGGUGGGUCUCUGCAGGUGCGCAGGAGCUCAGGAAUGAGAGCGCAGGGGUGGGAGCAGCAGUGGGCACGUGGCCCUGCAGGGGGAGGCUUGGGGGACUAGGCCGGGAAUCCAGAUUGUACAGGCUUCACAGGCCAGAGGAAGGGCUUGGACACAGUCCAAGGUGCCGGGCAGCCACAGAAGGUUCUAGAAUAGUGAGUGCUGAGGCCCGACUGGGGCUGCAGAGAUCCCUGUAGCAGCAGAGGCGAGGCUGGUGGGAGGGCGCUCCUCUCACAUCAGGAGGCAGGUGCACAGAGGGCAGGGAGCGCUGGGCAAGGUGAGGGAACCCCCAGGGAGCCAUCCUGGGCACCCCCUUCCCCAUCCGACCAUCACCGCCCGCAGCAGCUGGCGCCGGAGGGAGGACGAUGCGGCUCUCAGUGACUCACUGAAGGCCAGUCCCUCAGCCGCCCAGCCCUGCCCUCGGGCCAGCCCAGCCCUUGUGCCCCUGGGAGAGGAGUGUGCAGGGCUGGGCUGUGCCUGGAGCCCCUUCGCCCUCCUCCCAGACAAGCAGCUCCCUCCAAAACCAACCGCAGUGGUUUCACUCUUUCCUUUCUGGCCUCCCCAAACCUCAGUCCGCUCAGGGGUGGGCGUGGCCUGCCCAGCCCCAGGCCUUCCCCUGGGAGUCCCCUCACUGCCCAAGGGGGAAAGGGGGCUUUUCAGGCAGGGUCUGGCCACCGAAGCUGAGAUGCAGAGGGGGACCAGGCCUCAGGGCUGGGGGAACUGCUCCUGCAUCCUUCCCCCAACCUAGAAAAUGCGUCCAGUACCGCAAGUGUUAGCCACCAAACGGAGGGACCACCGUGCCCCUGUCUGGUGGGCCCAGGCUGGCAGGAGGCGGCACUGUGUGGCACCUGGGUCCCCAGAGAGGCCCUCCUGGGCACCCCUAGGACAUCCUGAUGCGUCCCUUUGGGCUUGCCUCAGUCUCCCCUUCUGUAAACUGGAGAGGAGAAAUCGUGAUGUCUUUUUUUUUUUUUUUAAGAUUUAUUUUAUUUAUUUGAAAGACAGAGUUACAGAGAGAGGUAGAGACAGAGAGAGAGAGGUCUUCCAUCCACUAUUUCACUCCCCAAAUGACCGCAACGGCUCUGAAGCCAGGAGCCAGGUGUUUCCUCCUGGUCUCCCACGCAGGUGCAGGGGCCUAAGGACUUGGACCAUCUUCCACUACCUUCCCAGGCCACAGCAGAGAGCUGGAUUGGAAGUGGAGCAGCCAGGACUCGAACCGGUGCCCAUACGGGAUGCCGGUGCUGCAGGUGGCGGUUACACUGCAAUGUUGGCCCCAAUUCGGAAAUUUCAAGAGUCAUUACAAAAUGAGAAUGCCUGGUGCAUCCGAGAUUGGAAGGGAAAGGUGGGGCAGAAGUGCCUGAAGAUUUCAGCAAGCGGCAGGAAGUGUGAGGAAGGCACCGAGGCUUUGAGAGGAACAGAUCUCGCAAGAAAAGUUCAUGUGUGAUAAGAUCGCCUGCAAUUUUGAAAAUAUUGUUUAUGGCAUUUUCCAGAAAGUAAGCAUUAAUACCAAAGAUACCAUCCUCUGUUAACAAAUAAGCUUUAUAUAUAAUAUAUAUAGAUAUGUCAGUAAAUAUCUGAAAACAGUCUGUUUUUUUUUUUUAAGAUUUAUUUGAAAGUCAGAGUUGCACAGAGAAAGGAGAGGGAGAGAGAGGGAGAGAGAGAGAGAGAGAGAGGUCUUCCAUCCACUGGUUCACUCCAUAAAUGGCCGCAACAGUGUGAGCUGCUCCAAUCCGAAGCCAGGAGCCAGGAGCUUCUUCCAGGUCUCUCAUGUGGGUGCAGGGGCCCAAGGACUUGGGCCAUCAUGUACUACUGUCCCAGGCCAUAGCAGAGAGCUGGAUCAGAAGUGGAGCAGCCGAGACUUGAACCAGCGCCCAUAUUGGGUGCCAGCUCUGCAGGUGGAGGCUUAGCUCACCAAGUCACAGCACUGGCCCCUGAAUAGUCUUAAUCUUUACUUUUACAAUCUGAUUUUAAAACUACAGUGUCUCCUCCUUGUAACAUUUUCUGGUUUGGUUUGGUUGUUAAAGAUUUAUUUAUUUGAAAGAGUUACACAGAGCAGAACAGACAGAGACACAGAUCUUCCAUCCCCUGGCUCAGUGGCUGGGCCAGGCUGAAGCCAGGAGCCAGGAGCUCCAUCCAGGUCUCCCACGUGGGUGCAGGGACCCAGGGACCUGAGCCAUCCACUGCUGCUUUCCCUGGCGGUUAACAGGGAGCUGGAUCGGAAGUGGGGCAGCCAGACUCCAGCCAUAUGUACAUGGGACGCCCACGUUACAGGCAGCGGCUUUACCCGCCAUGGCACAGUCCUGGCUCAGUUGUUUCUGUUUAAUCUGUGACUGUCAAUUUCUAGCCAGCUGAGGCCUAGUGGGUAAAGCUGCCGCCUGCAGUGCCAGCAUCCAAUAUCGGCGCUAGUUCAAGUCCCGGCUGCUCCACUUCCGAUCCAGCUCUCUGCUAUGGCCUGGGAAAGCAGUAGAAGAUGGCCCACGUGCUUGAGCCCCUGCACCUGCGUGGGAGACCUGGAGGAAGCUCCUGGCUUCGGAUUGGCGCAGCUCCAGCCAUUGCAGCCAUCUAGGGAGUGAACCAGUGGAUGGAAGACCUCUCUCUCUCUCUCUCUCUCUCUGCCUCUUUGUAACUCUGCCUUUCAAAUAAAUAAGUAAAUAUUUAAAAAAAAUAAGAAAGU